CAGACAGCCAGGAUGUUGGCUUAGAAGCAGCCAUCAUUUAAAGAAAGCGUAAUAGCUCACUGGUCGAGUCGGCCUGCGCGGAAGAUGUAACGGGGCUAAACCAUGCACCGAAGCUGCGGCAGCGACGCUGAUGCGUUGUUGGGUAGGGGAGCGUUCUGUAAGCCUGUGAAGGUGGCCUGUGAGGGUUGCUGGAGGUAUCAGAAGUGCGAAUGCUGACAUAAGUAACGAUAAAGCGGGUGAAAAGCCCGCUCGCCGGAAGACCAAGGGUUCCUGUCCAACGUUAAUCGGGGCAGG
This 294-nucleotide ribosomal RNA is filed under the name Salmonella enterica. RNAcentral describes it as "partial 23S ribosomal RNA". It matches the Rfam family "Bacterial large subunit ribosomal RNA", at positions 1086 to 1378 of the family's 2925-position model. Lineage: Bacteria; Pseudomonadati; Pseudomonadota; Gammaproteobacteria; Enterobacterales; Enterobacteriaceae. The record is from RNAcentral.